Molecule: ribosomal RNA, 506 nt
Filed under: Triatoma arthurneivai
Lineage: Eukaryota; Metazoa; Arthropoda; Insecta; Hemiptera; Reduviidae
Description: partial 16S ribosomal RNA
Rfam family: Bacterial large subunit ribosomal RNA
Source: RNAcentral
GUCCUUUUGUUUAUUAAUUUAAGGUUUGGCCUGCCCAAUGAGGAAUUCAAUGGCCGCAGUAUUUUAACUGUGCUAAGGUAGCAUAAUCAUUUGUCUUUUAAUUAAGGGCUGGAAUGAAGGGUUGGACGAGGCAUUAGCUUUCUUUGAUUUAAUUUAGGAAUUUAAUUUUUGAGUUAAAAAGCUUAAAUUUAUUUGUGGGACGAGAAGACCCUAUAGAUCUUUAUAAUUUUAUGCUUUAAUAAUUUAGGGAUUUAUAUGUUUUAAGCAGAUGAAUUAUUUUGUUGGGGUGACUGUAGAAUUUAAAUAACUUCUAUUUUUUAUUUUCAUUAAUUAAUGUUUUUUUGAUCCAUAAUUUAUGAUUAGAAGAAUAAGUUACCUUAGGGAUAACAGCGUAAUUUCCUCGGAGAGUUCAUAUUGAUGAGGGAGUUUGCGACCUCGAUGUUGGAUUAAAAUAAGUUGUAGAUGCAGGAGUCUAUUUACUAGGUCUGUUCGACCUUUGAAUUUUU